UACGUAGGGCGCAAGCGUUAUCCGGAAUUAUUGGGCGUAAAGAGCUCGUAGGCGGUUUGUCACGUCGGAUGUGAAAACCCGGGGCUUAACCCCGGGCCUGCAUUCGAUACGGGCUGACUAGAGUUCGGCAGGGGAGACUGGAAUUCCUGGUGUAGCGGUGAAAUGCGCAGAUAUCAGGAGGAACACCGGUGGCGAAGGCGGGUCUCUGGGCCGAUACUGACGCUGAGGAGCGAAAGCGUGGGGAGCAAACAGG
This 253-nucleotide ribosomal RNA is filed under the name uncultured bacterium. RNAcentral describes it as "partial 16S ribosomal RNA". It matches the Rfam family "Bacterial small subunit ribosomal RNA", at positions 524 to 776 of the family's 1533-position model. The record is from RNAcentral.